Carya illinoinensis is the source of this 1050-nucleotide long non-coding RNA. RefSeq lists it as uncharacterized. NCBI's taxonomy places the organism in Eukaryota, Viridiplantae, Streptophyta, Magnoliopsida, Fagales, Juglandaceae. The transcript has 2 exons. The record is from RefSeq and is a predicted model, not a curated record.
GCUAGAUAUAUAUCUAUGUAAAUAUAUAUAUAUAGAAAUGGGCAUAAAAGUAAUUUGGCUCUAACCUACAAAGCCCUAUAUAAUCAUCUCUAAACCUAAUCCUAACACUUUGGCCGCCUCCUUUCAUCUCUCUCUCUCUCUCUCCCUCUCUCUCUUUCUCUUUCUCUCUCGGGCAUUUCAUCUUCCGUUUCCUCUCUCUCUCACAGCUUUCAUCUUCUUGUUUGAUUUAUGUUUGUAUUUUGUUCUUCUUUUAAUGUUUUGGAGUUUCGUUUGCAUCACUCAUCUAUUCCGUUUAUUUGGGUUUUUUUUUUUUUUUUUUUUUUUUUUUGUGCGUUUAGAUCUAGAUUGUUCUUUAGAGUAUAAUCUAAAACUGUUUAUUUGGUAUAUUUUUUGUUGUUUUUUCAUACUUUCAGAUGAACAUUAUUUUUUACGAUUUUUCAUUUCUUUUUUUCCUUUUAGAUCUGAACAUAUUUGUUUUUGUUUGAUUUUUUUUGUCGUGUUUUGUUCUUGUUUUUGUCUCGUUUUAUCUUGUUCUUAUUGUCUCCAAUUUUGUUGUUUGAAGUUUGAAAUUUUGAGAUCUGUACAACAACUAUUUGGUUUUUCACUUAUUUGGUUUUUCGGUUUUUUUUUUUUUUUAAUUUUUUUAUCUGAUUGAAAUUUUUGGUUUGUUAUUUGGAUCUGUGGGUUUCUCGGUUGAAUCUAUUGUUUGUUGGGUGUCCCUCACAUCGCCGCUCACAUCCGCAGCAAAUGGCCACUCGUGGGAGCGCACGGCCACGCCGGAAGCACACAACAACAAAGUAGAAGAUGAAAUUUCAGAAGAUUGAAUUUGUAUAUGAUGCGUUAAAUUUUUUUGUUCGGUGUACUCUCUGUAAAUAAAGAUGUAAAUAUGCAAACAUAGUUUUUUUCUUUCGAUUUUUUUUUUUUUGCUGUAAUACAUAUACAUAUCAUCUAAUUACAUAAUGUAACAAAUUCAUUCAUUCAUACAAGACAGUUAAUUUUUGCAAUAUACUGAGGAAAACAAUAAAAACGUACCUACAAUUCAAUUGCUGA